RNA transcript from Oncorhynchus keta (chum salmon), 722 nucleotides. It is a transcript of the gene named succinate dehydrogenase assembly factor 2, mitochondrial-like, with no coding region annotated. The transcript has 4 exons. The record is from RefSeq and is a predicted model, not a curated record. NCBI's taxonomy places the organism in Eukaryota, Metazoa, Chordata, Actinopteri, Salmoniformes, Salmonidae.
CUAAGCUAGAGCGGACAUUUCUUGCUGUGCUCCCCUUGUAAUUAUGUGACUGUCUUUGGCUAGCAGGGACUUGUAUAAUUUUAGGACACUGGUUACUCUCGAGUCAACAAGAACAGUCACAUCAGGAUUCAGCAGUUACAAGGAAGAAAGACACAAUGCUGUCUGUUCUCAUUGCUAAAAGACUGGUAAGUGGGGUAUGCCAGGCGUCAUUGAGACCAGCUGUGGCAGAAAUAGUAACUACACGGGGUUACAAAGGAGAGGCACCUGAUGACUCUAGGGGUGACAUAAUUGAGAUCCCCCUGCCCCCCUGGACAGAGAAGGAUGGUGAGACCAUGGACAUCAAGAGACGGCGCCUGCUCUUCCAAAGCCGAAAGAGGGGCAUGCUGGAGAAUUGCAUAUUGCUCAGCCUGUUUGCCAAACAGUAUCUUAAUACAAUGAACGAGCCCCAGUUAAGACUGGGACAUCUACUACUGGGCAACAGAGGCCCAGCCUGUACCUGAUGUGUACGCAGGUGAAAUCAUGGACCUACUGAAGGAGUUCACAAAGAACAAAGAUCAGGAACAGAGGCUGGACGCACCCAACCUGGAAUACCUGGACAAGGGGAGCCAGUGAAGUCUGGCUGACACAUCCCUCUCAGGGUGUUUUCACAUUAUAGUCUUCUUUAAAAUAACUGAUCUCAGUCCUCUUUAAAGUGAACUCUGAGGGUAAAAAAAGAAGCAAAA